ACUCCAUGAAACUGGAUUCGCUAGUAAUCGCGCAUCAGCCACGGCGCGGUGAAUACGUUCCCGGGCCUUGUACACACCGCCCGUCAAGCCAUGGAAGCCGGGAGUGCCUGAAGUGCGUGAGCGCAAGCAGCGCCCUAAGGUAAAACCGGUGACUGGGGCUAAGUCGUAACAAGGUAUC
Molecule: ribosomal RNA, 178 nt
Filed under: uncultured bacterium
Lineage: Bacteria
Description: partial 16S ribosomal RNA
Rfam family: Bacterial small subunit ribosomal RNA
Source: RNAcentral